RNAcentral lists this ribosomal RNA (254 nucleotides) under uncultured bacterium. RNAcentral's name for it is "partial 16S ribosomal RNA". It matches the Rfam family "Bacterial small subunit ribosomal RNA", at positions 524 to 776 of the family's 1533-position model. The record is from RNAcentral.
UACGUAGGGUGCAAGCGUUGUCCGGAAUUAUUGGGCGUAAAGAGCUCGUAGGCGGUCUGUCGCGUCGGAUGUGAAAAUCCAGGGCUCAACCCUGGACCUGCAUUCGAUACGGGCAGACUAGAGUUCGGUAGGGGAGACUGGAAUUCCUGGUGUAGCGGUGAAAUGCGCAGAUAUCAGGAGGAACACCGGUGGCGAAGGCGGGUCUCUGGGCCGAAACUGACGCUGAGGAGCGGAAAGCGUGGGGAGCAAACAGG